This 1332-nucleotide ribosomal RNA is filed under the name Allopsontus sp. 1 JZ-2014. Its description in RNAcentral is "16S ribosomal RNA". The stretch from base 884 to 1264 matches the Rfam family "Bacterial large subunit ribosomal RNA", at positions 2071 to 2649 of the family's 2925-position model. Lineage: Eukaryota; Metazoa; Arthropoda; Insecta; Archaeognatha; Machilidae. The record is from RNAcentral.
GUUAGUUGUAUCUUAAAUGAUUUUUAAGUUGUAAUAGGGUAUUUAAAUUAUUAAUUUUAGAGUAUAGUGUUAGGAAUAAAGGUAUAUUUAUAGAGGAGAUAACAGAGAUGGAGUGGUGAAAUAAGUAAUAAAAGAAAUUUUUAAAAAGUAGUAAUGAAUUUAUGUACCUUUUGUAUUAGGGUUUUAUAAUUAUAGUUUAUAGAUAUAAUUUUCCCGAAAUAUAAAAGAUUUAUUGUGGAGAGUAUGUUAGCAUGGUAUAGCUAUAUCUAACUUUACAAUGUGUAAUGAAAAGUUAUUCGUUUUAUAUGAUAUCUGGUUAUUUGAGAAGUGAAUUUAAUUCAUCUUUGCUUAGAGGAUUUGACUGUUCUUUUGUAAAAAGCUUUACAGCAUCGGCAAGCGGUUGGGGGAUUAUCUCCAGUUGUUGGAUUUAAGAGUUAGAUUUUAUCUAUAAUUAAUUUAGGAUUAGAAGCUUCCAGAAUUAAUAAUAGCGUUUUAGCUUAUAGUUGAAUUAUAUGUAAUUUAGUUUGUUUUUAAAUUUUGUAUCAAAUUAUUGGUUGUAAUAGUUAAUUGUCAGGUAAUAAUGUAAGAAUUAGUAUAUAAUUAAAAUAUAGUAAAAUUUAAAUGUAUGGUUAAUUUUAAAAAGGAAUUCGGCAAAAUUUUUCUUCGCCUGUUUAUCAAAAACAUGGCUUUUUGGUUUAAUAAAAGGUCUUACCUGCCCACUGAGGUUUUGAAGGGCCGCGGUAUUUUGACCGUGCAAAGGUAGCAUAAUAAUUUGUCUUUUAAUUGAAGGCUGGAAUGAAGGGUGUUACGAAAGAAAAACUGUCUCUUUUAAAGGUUUAUAAUUUAACUUUUAGGUGAAAAGGCCUAGUAAUCGUUAAAAUAGUUCCGGAGGACAAAAAGACCCUAUAGAUCUUAACAUAUAAAGAUGUCUUAAUUUUAGUAGUGUUAAUUUAGGAUAAGUUGAUAUGUUUUGUUGGGGCGACAUAAAGAAAUAUUUAUCUCUUUAAUAGUGCGGUAUAAUAAUAUUUAAAUCAUAAAUAAGUUGAUCCAAAAUAUUUUGAUUAGUAGACUAAGUUACCUUAGGGAUAACAGCGUAAUCUUUUUUGAGAGUUCAUAUCGACAAGGAGGGUUGCGACCUCGAUGUUGGAUUAAGGUUCCCUAAGAAUUGGUGCAGCAGUUAUUUAGGAGGGUCUGUUCGACCUUUAAAUUCUUACAUGAUCUGAGUUCAAAUCGGCGUGAGCCAGGUUGGUUUAUAUCCUCGGAAAUAAUAAUAUUCUUUUAGUACGAAAGGACCAUAGGGUAAAAAUAUUUUUGUUAAGGUGAAUAAAUUUA